This 284-nucleotide long non-coding RNA is filed under the name Lathyrus oleraceus (garden pea). Its description in RNAcentral is "Pisum sativum (pea) long non-coding RNA (PSAT_LNC029462)". The record is from RNAcentral. Lineage: Eukaryota; Viridiplantae; Streptophyta; Magnoliopsida; Fabales; Fabaceae.
UUUCCUAAAUCAAACAUAAUACUAAAUUCUUUUCUUAAAUAAACACGAAAGAAGAUGACUGUUGAAAUCUAGUAUUCCAGUAGAACCCUUGAACGAUUGAUCCCAAGGCACACAUCUUGGGAUAACCAUUCAUUCUUUUCUAUCACUCCUAAAGUACUUCAAACUAUUUUUAAAAAUCAUAUAUCAAAUUAUUUAUAUGAAUCAAACCUCGAUCAACAUCGAGUGAUUUUUCUCAAUCAAACUUAAUAUUGAAAAUCUUUUUCUUAACAAACACGAAAAAAAAU